CCCCUAGAUGUUCUGGGCCGCACGCGCGCUACACUGAACAGUUCAACAAGUCUUAACCUUGGCCGAUAGGUCUGGGUAAUCUUUGAACGCUGUUCGUGAUUGGGAUAGACCUUUGCAAUUAUGGGUCUUCAACGAGGAAUUCCUAGUAAACGCAAGUCAUCAGCUUGCAUUGAUUACGUCCCUGCCCUUUGUACACACCGCCCGUCGCACCUACCGAUUGAAUGGUCCGGUGAAAAUUUCGGAUACCGGCAUUGCUGGCGGUUCGCCGCCGGCGACGCUGGUAGAAGAUCUUUAAACCUUNUNAUUUAGNGGAAGGAGAANUCGUANCA
RNAcentral lists this ribosomal RNA (329 nucleotides) under uncultured eukaryote. RNAcentral describes it as "partial 18S ribosomal RNA". It matches the Rfam family "Eukaryotic small subunit ribosomal RNA", at positions 1470 to 1796 of the family's 1831-position model. The record is from RNAcentral.